UACGAAGGGUGCAAGCGUUACUCGGAAUUACUGGGCGUAAAGCGUGCGUAGGUGGUUUGUUAAGUCUGAUGUGAAAGCCCUGGGCUCAACCUGGGAAUGGCAUUGGAUACUGGCGAGCUAGAGUGCGGUAGAGGGUAGUGGAACUCCCGGUGUAGCAGUGAAAUGCGUAGAGAUCGGGAGGAACAUCUGUGGCGAAGGCGACUACCUGGACCAGCACUGACACUGAGGCACGAAAGCGUGGGGAGCAAACAGG
This 253-nucleotide ribosomal RNA is filed under the name uncultured bacterium. RNAcentral describes it as "partial 16S ribosomal RNA". It matches the Rfam family "Bacterial small subunit ribosomal RNA", at positions 524 to 776 of the family's 1533-position model. The record is from RNAcentral.